Polypterus senegalus (gray bichir) is the source of this 289-nucleotide long non-coding RNA. RefSeq lists it as uncharacterized. Lineage: Eukaryota; Metazoa; Chordata; Cladistia; Polypteriformes; Polypteridae. The record is from RefSeq and is a predicted model, not a curated record. The transcript has 3 exons.
GAGAAUUAUGAUAGCGCGAACACGUCAGGUCAGAGGUCAACUAGCCCUGGGCAGCGGUCGGAGGAGGAGAACAAGGUUCCAAGUUGGAAUCCGCCCUGGACGGGAUGACAGACCACAUCAGGGUGCAAUCAGUCUUUCUAUUUAAUGCAGCACCCUUCAGGUGUGCAACAAGUUUCUUUGUGGUGGCGUCCUGUGCCAACACCACCUACUCAAAACAUCAUGAUGCACCAACAUUGAUGGACUGAAAGCCAGAAGUCUACGUGACCAUCAUCAUCAAGUCCUUCCAUGA